UACGGAGGGUGCAAGCGUUAUCCGGAUUUACUGGGUUUAAAGGGUGCGCAGGCGGAUAUGUAAGUCAGUGGUGAAAUCUCUAGGCUUAACCUGGAAAUUGCCGUUGAUACUAUAUAUCUUGAAUGCUGUGGAGGUAAGCGGAAUAUGUCAUGUAGCGGUGAAAUGCUUAGAUAUCUGGAGGAACACCGGUGGCGAAGGCGGCAUCCUGGACCAAUACUGACGCUGAGGAGCGAAAGCCAGGGGAGCAAACGGG
RNAcentral lists this ribosomal RNA (253 nucleotides) under uncultured bacterium. RNAcentral's name for it is "partial 16S ribosomal RNA". It matches the Rfam family "Bacterial small subunit ribosomal RNA", at positions 524 to 776 of the family's 1533-position model. The record is from RNAcentral.